RNAcentral lists this ribosomal RNA (586 nucleotides) under Bacillus sp. (in: firmicutes). Its description in RNAcentral is "bacterial SSU rRNA". It matches the Rfam family "Bacterial small subunit ribosomal RNA", at positions 81 to 651 of the family's 1533-position model. Lineage: Bacteria; Bacillati; Bacillota; Bacilli; Caryophanales; Bacillaceae. The record is from RNAcentral.
CUCUUAUGAACUUAGCGGCGGACCGGUGAGUAACACGUGGGUAACCUGCCCAUAAGACUGGGAUAACUCCGGGAAACCGGGGCUAAUACCGGAUAACAUUUUGAACCGCAUGGUUCGAAAUUGAAAGGCGGCUUCGGCUGUCACUUAUGGAUGGACCCGCGUCGCAUUAGCUAGUUGGUGAGGUAACGGCUCACCAAGGCAACGAUGCGUAGCCGACCUGAGAGGGUGAUCGGCCACACUGGGACUGAGACACGGCCCAGACUCCUACGGGAGGCAGCAGUAGGGAAUCUUCCGCAAUGGACGAAAGUCUGACGGAGCAACGCCGCGUGAGUGAUGAAGGCUUUCGGGGUCGUAAAACUCUGUUGUUAGGGAAGAACAAGUGCUAGUUGAAUAAGCUGGCACCUUGACGGUACCUAACCAGAAAGCCACGGCUAACUACGUGCCAGCAGCCGCGGUAAUACGUAGGUGGCAAGCGUUAUCCGGAAUUAUUGGGCGUAAAGCGCGCGCAGGUGGUUUCUUAAGUCUGAUGUGAAAGCCCACGGCUCAACCGUGGAGGGUCAUUGGAAACUGGGAGACUUGAUUGCAC